Molecule: long non-coding RNA, 782 nt
Organism: Brassica oleracea var. oleracea
Lineage: Eukaryota; Viridiplantae; Streptophyta; Magnoliopsida; Brassicales; Brassicaceae
Exons: 3
Source: RefSeq, a predicted model, not a curated record
CUCUGUAGAUCUGUCAAAGAGACGAUAGCAAUGGCAUUAAGUGACAUCUUCACGAACGAGCUUGUUCAAGUUCGCGUCUCCGGUUGGCCUUGACGGGAGCAUCACCAGUUUCACAUCUUGUGGGAUUUACUCGGGAUUGGGAGGAGGAGGAGGUGGUGCUGCUUAUUCUUCAUGUUUGGUUCUGGUUAGUGUGCUAUGUCUAGGAUAUUUGCUUCUUCUUCUUUUUGCUCUUCUUUCUCUUUGUUGCUUUUAUAUCAACCAACCACCUAAAUCUCCUUCACACCACCGUUGCCGCCACUUACUCCACUCUACUGCCAUCGCCGUUCACUCCACCUCCACCAUCAAGAUUCUCGGAAGUUUAUCGGAUACAUUUCUCGGAAGUUCAUCGGGAUUUCCGAUCACUUUCCGACAAAUAAUCCCGACGAUAUUUGUCAACGGAAAUUACCUACUAGCUUCCGACGAACUGGAAUUUCCGAGAGCCAAACUCCGACUAAACCUUGAUCGUCGGGAAAUGGUGGGAAAUUCCCACUACCGACUACCUUCCGAGUAAUCUGGCUGUCGGAGUAUGAAUCUUAUUCUUGUAGUUUUCACAUGGAUGCUUCUUUAGAGAAUGUAGUGUACAGCACUCUAUUGUGGGCAUACGAUCACGUGUAGAGUCUGAAGUAGAGCUUCGGGAUACGAUUGUGAUGGGAGCAGAUUUCUACCAAACAGAAGCUGAAAUCAUGUCUAUGUUGGCUGAAGGGAAAGUUCCCAUAAGUGUAGGGGAGAACACCAAGAUUAGG